CCUACGGGUGGCAGCAGUGAGGAAUAUUGGUCAAUGGACGAGAGUCUGAACCAGCCAAGUAGCGUGAAGGAUGACGGCCCUACGGGUUGUAAACUUCUUUUGUAAAGGAAUAAACGGAGGCACGUGUGCCUUUUUGUAUGUACUUUAUGAAUAAGGAUCGGCUAACUCCGUGCCAGCAGCCGCGGUAAUACGGAGGAUCCGAGCGUUAUCCGGAUUUAUUGGGUUUAAAGGGAGCGUAGAUGGGUUGAUAAGUUAGGUGUGAAAUUUUGCGGCUCAACCGUAAAAUUGCAAUUGAUACUGGCAGUCUUGAGUACAGUUGAGGUAGGCGGAAUGCGUGGUGUAGCGGUGAAAUGCUUAGAUAUCACGAAGAACUCCGAUUGCGAAGGCAGCCUACUAAACUGCCACUGACAUUGAUGCACGAAAGUGUGGGUAUCAAACAGGAUUAGAUACCCCAGUAGUC
Molecule: ribosomal RNA, 460 nt
Filed under: uncultured bacterium
Lineage: Bacteria
Description: partial 16S ribosomal RNA
Rfam family: Bacterial small subunit ribosomal RNA
Source: RNAcentral